GCCGGGUUAGCUCAGUUGGUCAGAGCAUGGUGCUAAUAACACCAAGUUCACAGGUUCAAUCCCUGCUCACUGCA
RNAcentral lists this transfer RNA (74 nucleotides) under Pelecanus crispus (Dalmatian pelican). It matches the Rfam family "tRNA". Rfam says of the family: Transfer RNA (tRNA) molecules are approximately 80 nucleotides in length. Their secondary structure includes four short double-helical elements and three loops (D, anti-codon, and T loops). Lineage: Eukaryota; Metazoa; Chordata; Aves; Pelecaniformes; Pelecanidae. The record is from Rfam by way of RNAcentral.